This 460-nucleotide ribosomal RNA is filed under the name uncultured bacterium. Its description in RNAcentral is "partial 16S ribosomal RNA". It matches the Rfam family "Bacterial small subunit ribosomal RNA", at positions 338 to 795 of the family's 1533-position model. The record is from RNAcentral.
CCUACGGGGGGUAGCAGUGAGGAAUAUUGGUCAAUGGACGAGAGUCUGAACCAGCCAAGUAGCGUGAAGGAUGACUGCCCUAUGGGUUGUAAACUUCUUUUAUAUGGGAAUAAAAUGUUCCACGUGUGGGAUUUUGUAUGUACCAUAUGAAUAAGGAUCGGCUAACUCCGUGCCAGCAGCCGCGGUAAUACGGAGGAUCCGAGCGUUAUCCGGAUUUAUUGGGUUUAAAGGGAGCGUAGGUGGAUUGUUAAGUCAGUUGUGAAAGUUUGCGGCUCAACCGUAAAAUUGCAGCUGAAACUGGCAGUCUUGAGUACAGUAGAGGUGGGCGGAAUGCGUGGUGUAGCGGUGAAAUGCUUAGAUAUCACGCAGAACUCCGAUUGCGAAGGCAGCUUACUGGACUGCAACUGACACUGAGGCUCGAAAGUGUGGGUAUCAAACAGGAUUAGAUACCCUUGUAGUC